CACGUCGAGCGGUAGCACANGGAGCUUGCUCCUGGGUGACGAGCGGCGGACGGGUGAGUAAUGUCUGGGAANCUGCCCGAUGGAGGGGGAUAACUACUGGAAACGGUAGCUAAUACCGCAUAACGUCUUCGGACCAAAGUGGGGGACCUUCGGGCCUCACACCAUCGGAUGUGCCCAGAUGGGAUUAGCUAGUAGGUGAGGUAAUGGCUCACCUAGGCGACGAUCCCUAGCUGGUCUGAGAGGAUGACCAGCCACACUGGAACUGAGACACGGUCCAGACUCCUACGGGAGGCAGCAGUGGGGAAUAUUGCACAAUGGGCGCAAGCCUGAUGCAGCCAUGCCGCGUGUGUGAAGAAGGCCUUCGGGUUGUAAAGCACUUUCAGCGAGGAGGAAGGG
Molecule: ribosomal RNA, 396 nt
Filed under: Serratia fonticola
Lineage: Bacteria; Pseudomonadati; Pseudomonadota; Gammaproteobacteria; Enterobacterales; Yersiniaceae
Description: bacterial SSU rRNA
Rfam family: Bacterial small subunit ribosomal RNA
Source: RNAcentral